GUGGGGAAUAUUGGACAAUGGGGGGAACCCUGAUCCAGCCAUGCCGCGUGUGUGAAGAAGGCCUUUUGGUUGUAAAGCACUUUAAGCGAGGAGGAGGCUACCGAGAUUAAUACUCUUGGAUAGUGGACGUUACUCGCAGAAUAAGCACCGGCUAACUCUGUGCCAGCAGCCGCGGUAAUACAGAGGGUGCAAGCGUUAAUCGGAUUUACUGGGCGUAAAGCGCGCGUAGGUGGCCAAUUAAGUCAAAUGUGAAAUCCCCGAGCUUAACUUGGGAAUUGCAGUCGAUACUGGUUGGCUAGAGUAGGGGAGAGGAUGGUAGAAUUCCAGGUGUAGCGGUGAAAUGCGUAGAGAGCUGGAGGAAUACCGAUGGCGAAGGCAGCCAUCUGGCCUAAUACUGACACUGAGGUGCGAAAGCAUGGGGAGCAAACAGGAUUAGAAACCCUUGUAGUCC
This 451-nucleotide ribosomal RNA is filed under the name uncultured bacterium. RNAcentral describes it as "bacterial SSU rRNA". It matches the Rfam family "Bacterial small subunit ribosomal RNA", at positions 354 to 796 of the family's 1533-position model. The record is from RNAcentral.